RNAcentral lists this ribosomal RNA (253 nucleotides) under uncultured bacterium. RNAcentral's name for it is "partial 16S ribosomal RNA". It matches the Rfam family "Bacterial small subunit ribosomal RNA", at positions 524 to 776 of the family's 1533-position model. The record is from RNAcentral.
UACGAAGGGGGCUAGCGUUGUUCGGAUUUACUGGGCGUAAAGCGCGUGUAGGCGGUCUUGUAAGUUGGGGGUGAAAUCCCGGGGCUCAACCUCGGAACUGCCUUCAAAACUAUUGGUCUUGAGUUCGAGAGAGGUGAGUGGAAUUCCGAGUGUAGAGGUGAAAUUCGUAGAUAUUCGGAGGAACACCAGUGGCGAAGGCGGCUCACUGGCUCGAUACUGACGCUGAGGUGCGAAAGCGUGGGGAGCAAACAGG